This 371-nucleotide unclassified non-coding RNA is filed under the name soil metagenome. RNAcentral's name for it is "partial contains 5.8S ribosomal RNA, internal transcribed spacer 2, and large subunit ribosomal RNA". The stretch from base 2 to 119 matches the Rfam family "5.8S ribosomal RNA", at positions 38 to 154 of the family's 154-position model. The record is from RNAcentral.
GGAAGAACGCAGCGAAAUGCGAUAAGUAAUGCGAAUUGCAGAAUUCCAGUGAGUCAUCGAAUCUUUGAACGCACAUUGCGCCCUUUGGUAUUCCGAAGGGCAUGCCUGUUCGAGCGUCAUUAUCACCCCUCAAGCCCUCGGCUUGGUGUUGGACGGUUUGGUGGAGGCCCCCUCGGGGGUUCCUGCCCCUCCCAAAGACAAUGACGGCGGCCUCGUUGGACCCCCGGUACACUGAGUUCUUCACGGGACACGUAUCGGACACAUGGGUUUACGGGACACGGUCUGCCUCCCCUCAGGGAGAAUCUUUCUAAGGUUGACCUCGGAUCAGGUAGGGAUACCCGCUGAACUUAAGCAUAUCAAUAAGCGGAGGA